AGCAGCCGCGGUAAUUCCAGCUCCAAUAGCGUAUAUUAAAGUUGUUGCAGUUAAAAAGCUCGUAGUUGAAUUUCGGGAUCAAUAUGUUGGUCGUGCCUUGGUACGUACUAAUUUAUUGGUUUCUUCCUUCUGACGAACCAUGAUGUCAUUAAUUUGGUGUCUUGGGGAAUCAGGACUGUUACUUUGAAAAAUUAGAGUGUUUAAAGCAGGCUCGCGCUUGAAUACAUUAGCAUGGAAUAAUGAGAUAGGACGUUUGAUUCUAUUUUGUUGGUUUCUAGGAUCGACGUAAUGAUUAAUAGGGAUAGUUGGGGGCAUUAGUAUUCAAUUGUCAGAGGUGAAAUUCUUGGAUUUAUUGAAGACUAACUACUGCGAAAGCAUUUGCCAAGGAUGUUUUCAUUAAUCAAGAACGAAAGUUAGGGGAUCGAAGACGAUCAGAUACCGUCGUAGCCU
This 450-nucleotide ribosomal RNA is filed under the name uncultured Glomus. Its description in RNAcentral is "SSU rRNA". It matches the Rfam family "Eukaryotic small subunit ribosomal RNA", at positions 569 to 1026 of the family's 1831-position model. The record is from RNAcentral. Lineage: Eukaryota; Fungi; Glomeromycota; Glomeromycetes; Glomerales; Glomeraceae.